RNAcentral lists this non-coding RNA (164 nucleotides) under zebrafish metagenome. The record is from RNAcentral.
GGCGCCCGCGAGGGCUGAAAAGGGAAUGCGGUGCGGGUUCGCCCAAUACCGCAGCUGCCCCCGCAACUGUAAGCGGCGAGCCGACAGCCGACAUGCCACUGCGGAUUCCGCGGGAAGGCGGUUGGAGGCAACGACCCGCGAGCCAGGAGACCUGCCAUCAGUCG